GAAGAAGAAGACCUCAGCAUCUGCUAAGAAGGAAGAGGAAGGUGAUGCUGCCACUGAGGAGGUAAAGAAAAGUAACCACGUCCAGCGCAAAAUUGAGAAACGUCAGCAGGACCGCAAGCUUGACCCGCAUAUUGAAGAACAAUUCAGCAGCGGUCGUUUGAUGGCUUGUAUCUCAUCAAGGCCGGGUCAAUGUGGCCGAGCAGAUGGGUAUAUCUUGGAGGGCAAA
RNAcentral lists this unclassified non-coding RNA (226 nucleotides) under Hevea brasiliensis (rubber tree). Lineage: Eukaryota; Viridiplantae; Streptophyta; Magnoliopsida; Malpighiales; Euphorbiaceae. The record is from RNAcentral.